UGCCCACAGCAGGGUGGUGGUUUGUGAAGCUGCUCCUUCCUGCAUCCCAGACCUGUGGCUACAAAGCUCCAAGCUGAGAAACACCCUGUCCUGGUGGUGGUUGGCAGUUUCCCUCCCCUUCUGCCAGCCAGCUGGAGAUAAUGCUUCCCUUGGGAAGGCAGGAAGGAUCAGCAGAAACCAAAGAUCUGAAGCCCAUCAAGGCCAAUUAGGUGGUUAUUGACUUCAGAGCACUUUGAACUGACUCUGCAAAUAGCACCAUUAGCCCAAGUGGCCCAAGCAACUCUUCUGUCUGCAUGCCUUCAGAGAUCUGUCUACACUCCUCUGAAGAUGCAAGUUCAGCUUUGCUCUCAUUUACUCCUGGGUGAAGGCGAGAUCACAACGUAUUUAUUUUUAGAUGUAGUAUACCUACGUUAAUACAAAAUGUACCUUUCGUUUCACACACGCAUACAGAAGAGGAAGUGUAACACCCUGCCAAACACACUGGUUUCUUUUCAUUUAUCAGCAAUGUGAGAGAAGAAAUAAUCCAUUUUAUGUUUUAUUGUGUUUGUUUGUCAUCUGAUUUAGUACUUAUCUGUUAUGCCUAAUUACUUUAAAAGAAUUCUAGUUCUUGGUCACAAAAUCUAUGAAUAAAAGAUGUUCACAUACACCAUCUAGGCCAGGUGUCACAACUCGGUGCAGAGAUCCACACCACAAGAUACUUCUGAUUUUAAUUACUAUGUGAAUGGAUACACUGAUUACAUGAAAAAUCAAUAAAAUAUUAAUCAGAUAAAGCAAGACAGCAGGUGGCCAAACAUAUUAAUAAGGCGUAUGUCUGCAAAACACAAACAUAUCUCUGCAAACAGGAGGGGCAUGCUCAUGGUAUCACUAGAUGUACUCUAUCACUGAAACAGCCCGUCACCAAAGUGUCACCAUGCAAAGCUGUUUAAUUUUUAAGCAAGGGUGGGUGCAUUUUCUGUUUAAUCCACUUAGGGACUCACUGGUUCUACUUCCUGUCUGGAAACACGCUUCCCAGACAGGUCAGCGGAGUUUUUUUCUGCCUGAGGUGGGCAAGACUGAAAUCAUUAAGGUCAGUGUACUAAGACAAAGCAAAACAAAACAAAACAGAAUUUAUGCUCCUUCUUAAUGCAUUAUAAUGUGUUAAAAAAGACUCACAGCUCUUUUUUCUGUGUUUGUUUCACUUUGGGAAUAUCAGAAAUAUCAAGAGAGCACACACUCUUGCAGUCUCUCCCAGCCAUUCUGGGUCAGCUUGUUUAACUGCUUCCAAAAUCCAUCUGUGGUUUCAGAAACGAAUACCAAAACUGUACCUGGCCUAGCCAAAUAAAAUGUGUAGUUUCUUAAUUCAUAGGCAGACAUAGAGCAAGCAGUCUCGACUUCUUAAUAGGCAUUUGUGCGACUGACAAGCCAAAUUUAUUCAUCAGCAUCCUGCAGCCGGGGACUGGGCUCUGCUCAGAAGCCAAGCUGCUCGGCACAAGGAGGAUCUCUCAGUGCCCGCUUGGCACCCUGGGUACAAACUGAUGUGCAGGCUGAGUGACAGGCCUGGAAAUAUCUCCCUGGUAAUGUUUUGAGGCUUGGGCUUUUUCCUGUGCUGUGUUUUGCAGAGGAGUGGGAUCUGGCGUGAGACACGCUUUGUUCUUCUCAUGUGAGCUGAGCUCUCCUCCCAUUUCCCCUCUCAGAUCCCUUUGCAGGAUAUGUUUUUAUUGCACCCUCGCUCUCCUCAGUUCAAGCAGUUAUUCAUUUCCUGACUGUAUGUGACCAGAUGCGUGGCUGUUGUCAGUGGUGUAAAUCCUCAGCCUUCAGUUGAACUAAAAAUCAUCCUGUGGUGUUUGAUGUGCCAUGUUAAUGGGACAUGGCUGUUUUGAGAUUUCUGACUUUCACAGAACAAAACACUUCAUCUGCGCCUUUAGGAAAUAACAAUAACUCAUUAAGACCACGACCUCAUGUUUCUCUUUAAAUACAGAUGUUAUUCAAUGUAGAGCUCUAGACUGGUUCUGACAAUACAUUUUUUUGUUCCUUCUCUGUACAAAAUUGAAUAAUGUAUCUCCCUGAGUCUCCUUUUACUCAAGCAGCAAAGGUUGCUCUGAUGUCAGCUGCAGGGGUGAGAUGUAAUGUGGAUAGCUGUGAAAUCCCCUUUGACAGUUACAACCAAAGUGAAAAUAUCCUUCAAAUCCAAAAAAAUCUUUCCUCACAUAUAGGCUUCCACAGUUUUGUAAUUGUAACUGCUAAAUCUGAGUGCUUCAGACAGACACUGGACUUUUGAGAGACACAAAUUCUUCUCUGGAAUCUUUUAAAAUUCA
Molecule: non-coding RNA, 2294 nt
Organism: Phalacrocorax carbo (great cormorant)
Lineage: Eukaryota; Metazoa; Chordata; Aves; Suliformes; Phalacrocoracidae
Source: RefSeq, a predicted model, not a curated record